RNAcentral lists this ribosomal RNA (253 nucleotides) under uncultured bacterium. RNAcentral describes it as "partial 16S ribosomal RNA". It matches the Rfam family "Bacterial small subunit ribosomal RNA", at positions 524 to 776 of the family's 1533-position model. The record is from RNAcentral.
UACGUAGGGUGCGAGCGUUAAUCGGAAUUACUGGGCGUAAAGAGUGCGUAGGCGGUUCGUUAAGUCAGCUGUGAAAGCCCCGGGCUCAACCUGGGAACUGCGGUUGAAACUGGCGAACUAGAAUCUGGCAGAGGGGGGUGGAAUUCCGCGUGUAGCAGUGAAAUGCGUAGAGAUGUGGAGGAACACCGAUGGCGAAGGCAGCCCCCUGGGCUGAGAUUGACGCUCAGGCACGAAAGCGUGGGGAGCAAACAGG